CAAGAAGGCUCAAACCCCAGCGAUGAAAACUCUGCUCUAGUGCAUUAUAUUCAGAUUCAUCAAGAUGAAUUUUCCAUGAAUAUCAAACUUCAGCUAUUUAAACUUGUCGCAAAGCAAACAACUUUUCACCAGCUUAGGACAGUUGAGCAACUUGGUUACAUCACUUGUCUUUCUCAAAGAAACGAUUCUGGUGUCUAU
Camelina sativa (false flax) is the source of this 198-nucleotide non-coding RNA. NCBI's taxonomy places the organism in Eukaryota, Viridiplantae, Streptophyta, Magnoliopsida, Brassicales, Brassicaceae. The record is from RefSeq and is a predicted model, not a curated record.